CUGUUGGUGUGCCUGCGCCUCGAGAGUGGGGAGAGGGGGAAGCAAGUGUGAGGAGUCGGUCGCAAGAGGACGCGGAGGAGCCCGCCGCGUCUCAGAAGUUGCUGGCCCCUUCGCGCGAAGAUACAUUUAUCCCAAGUUUGCUUGUGAACGAAGUCUGAAAACUUUGUCAUCAAGACCAUGAAGACACUGAAUCCACAAAUCACAGAGGAGAAAGAAUAUGCCACCAAACUAGCAUCUCAAAGAGCUGCUCAGUUUCCCUCAGAAAUUGUAUCUCUUGCAUAUAUUUGUUUAUUGCCAACUAAGCUAGCUAUUUAUUUAUUUAUUUAUUUAUUUAUUUAUUGUUUAUUUCCUAUCAGUCUGAUAUCUAAAGGAUGAGAGGCUUCAUCCAUGAGUAUUUUUUCCUCUCAAUGUAAGGUUUUGUAACAUGUAAUUUUGGAGUGUAACUUCCAGAAAAUCCCCAAAAUUUACCUGAAAAUGAAAUAUCUCACUAUCACAUAACAGGACAAUUAUUAAAGCCAAUUUAAAAAUUGUCUUAUUUUUUGUCAUCCUAAAAUGUAUAAUUAUCAGGUAAUUUAAAUUUCUAUUUAUUCUUGCUUUUACUUUAUGAAAUAAAGUGGAGUAUAAAACAGUAUUUUUCACUGCUAGAGAUUUUUUAUGUAUAACAUUCUAAUUUUAGCAGAAAUCAGUCAUUGUUUUGUCUAGAUUUCCUUCUUCAAAAAACAUAGCAUGAUUUACCAGCGGAGGAAAAAUGUAGUUUCCAGAAGUAUCCUGUGAUGCUCCUCCGAGUUCAACAGUGUCUUUGGACUGUUUUCAUUCUCAAAUAUCAAUCUGAGAUUUAUUAAUCUUCUCUAGAAGAAGAAAAGUAUUCUGGAGAUAAAAUAUGUAGUAUACUCUCUGAAUAUUCACUGUCACAAACUCAAAGACCAAGUAUGACACAAAAUCUAUGAUUAAAAAAAAACAAGGAAGAAAAAAAUAAUUAAAACUUGCCAUAUGGACAUUUACAGAAUCUAGUUACACCAGCAAGCUUACCAAAAAUUGACAGAUUCUAAUGUGUUUCAGAGGUUUAAGAGAUUUGCCAAUAUCAUAACCACAGUUAAACAUUCCUGUGCCAGUAUAAUUAUGCUACCUCAUGGUGCCAAAUAGAGGUGACUUUUAUGCAUCCACUUGUGUAUAUUAUAAAA
Long non-coding RNA from Thamnophis elegans (Western terrestrial garter snake), 1181 nucleotides. RefSeq lists it as uncharacterized. The transcript is spliced from 2 exons. NCBI's taxonomy places the organism in Eukaryota, Metazoa, Chordata, Lepidosauria, Squamata, Natricidae. The record is from RefSeq and is a predicted model, not a curated record.